CAUUUGUCUUUUAAUUGAAGACUUGUAUGAAUGGUUGAACGAGAAAAUAACUGUCUCUUUAAAAAAUCUUGAAUUUUACUUUUAAGUGAAAAGGCUUAAAUAAUUUUAAGGGACGAUAAGACCCUAUAAAUCUUUAUAUUAUUUUCUUUAACUUUCAAAUUAUAUAUUAAAAGAAAAACAAAGAAAAAAUAUUCUAUUGGGGAGAUAAAAAUAUAAUUUUUAACUGUUUUAAACAUAAAACAAUAAUUUUUGAUUUAUUAAAAAAUGAUCCUUUUUAAAGAUUUUAAGAUUAAGUUACUUUAGGGAUAACAGCGUAAUUUUUUUUGAGAGUUCUUAUCGAAAAAAAAGUUUGCGACCUCGAUGUUGAAUUAAAAUAUCCUUAUAAGUGUAGAAGCUAUAGAGGAAA
Molecule: ribosomal RNA, 406 nt
Filed under: Aegla longirostri complex sp. UFSM 4792
Lineage: Eukaryota; Metazoa; Arthropoda; Malacostraca; Decapoda; Aeglidae
Also listed under: 6 other names
Description: partial 16S ribosomal RNA
Source: RNAcentral